This 255-nucleotide ribosomal RNA is filed under the name uncultured bacterium. RNAcentral describes it as "partial 16S ribosomal RNA". It matches the Rfam family "Bacterial small subunit ribosomal RNA", at positions 524 to 777 of the family's 1533-position model. The record is from RNAcentral.
UACGUAGGGGGGCGAGCGUUGUCCGGAUUUAUUGGGCGUAAAGAGCGUGUAGGCGGCUUGGCAAGUCCGCUGUGAAAACUCGAGGCUCAACCUCGAGACGUCGGUGGAAACUGCCUCGCUAGAGUCCGGAAGAGGAGAGUGGAAUUCCUGGUGUAGCGGUGAAAUGCGCAGAUAUCAGGAAGAACACCCGUGGCUAAGGCGGCUCUCUGGGACGGUACUGACGCUCAUGCACGAAAGCGUGGGGAGCAAACGAGG